This 125-nucleotide small RNA is filed under the name Marmota monax (woodchuck). Lineage: Eukaryota; Metazoa; Chordata; Mammalia; Rodentia; Sciuridae. The record is from RNAcentral.
GCCAGGUGUGGUGGCGCACACCUGUAAUCCCAAUGGCUAGGGAGGCUGAAAUAGGAGAAUCACGAGUUCAAAGCCAGCCUCAGCAAAGGCAAGGCACUAAGCAACUCAGCGAGACUCUGUCUCUA